Molecule: ribosomal RNA, 585 nt
Filed under: uncultured bacterium
Lineage: Bacteria
Description: partial 16S ribosomal RNA
Rfam family: Bacterial small subunit ribosomal RNA
Source: RNAcentral
UGGGGAAUUUUGGACAAUGGGCGAAAGCCUGAUCCAGCAAUGCCGCGUGUGUGAAGAAGGCCUUCGGGUUGUAAAGCACUUUUGUCCGGAAAGAAAUCCUUGGCUCUAAUACAGUCGGGGGAUGACGGUACCGGAAGAAUAAGCACCGGCUAACUACGUGCCAGCAGCCGCGGUAAUACGUAGGGUGCAAGCGUUAAUCGGAAUUACUGGGCGUAAAGCGUGCGCAGGCGGUUUGCUAAGACCGAUGUGAAAUCCCCGGGCUCAACCUGGGAACUGCAUUGGUGACUGGCAGGCUAGAGUAUGGCAGAGGGGGGUAGAAUUCCACGUGUAGCAGUGAAAUGCGUAGAGAUGUGGAGGAAUACCGAUGGCGAAGGCAGCCCCCUGGGCCAAUACUGACGCUCAUGCACGAAAGCGUGGGGAGCAAACAGGGUUAGAUACCCUGGUAGUCCACGCCCUAAACGAUGUCAACUAGUUGUUGGGGAUUCAUUUCCUUAGUAACGUAGCUAACGCGUGAAGUUGACCGCCUGGGGAGUACGGUCGCAAGAUUAAAACUUAAAUGAAUUGACGGGGUCAUAGCUGUUUCCU